Long non-coding RNA from Oncorhynchus keta (chum salmon), 151 nucleotides. RefSeq lists it as uncharacterized. The transcript is spliced from 3 exons. Lineage: Eukaryota; Metazoa; Chordata; Actinopteri; Salmoniformes; Salmonidae. The record is from RefSeq and is a predicted model, not a curated record.
UUUACAUCAGGGGUGAUCUCUUUAUCUUUACAUCAGGUGUGUUCUCUUUACAUCUUUACAUCAGGUGUGAUCUCUUUAUCUUUACAUCAGGUGUGAUCUCUUUAUCUUUACAUCAGGUGUGUUCUCUUUAUCUUUACAUCUUUACAUCAGG